GGCAGUGGCUCGAUUCUGCAUCAACACCCCAGCCACAGGCUGACUGCGGGAUGGGACAGGGCAGCAUUCAUUACUCGCCAUGAAGGCGCUUCGGACUCAAGGCUCCGUCAGCUGCAGUCCCGGCCCUGAAGGGACCUCCUCCUACGUCCCAGUUGGUUCAGUCAAGUCCCCGUUGUACAAGACAGUCCCCAGGAAGGACCAGGACAUAUUUCUGCCCCAGGAGUAGAGGCUUACUGGAGAAGGCUUUGAGCCGGGUUCCAUUCCAGCGGAGGCUGGGGGGUGGGGGCCCAGAGCACGGGGGUCAGGCGGCCAAAGUGAGCACUGGCCAGUGUCAGGCCAUAGCACGGGAGCAUUUUGGGCCAGCCUCAUGGGGGCAGGGAGCCACGGCGCACGGCCCGGAGGCGGCCCCAGCCGGUUCCCGCCAGGUGACAGGACUGCUUUGGCGAGCACUCCCUGCCCCGGAGGACACCCACCUUGGGAGGACCAGAUGCAGCAGACACGGGGAAGGAAUGAGUGCUGGAGGUGACAAGCGUGGCUGAUGGGCGAGGGAGGGCGGGUGGAGGCCAGGGCACAGAGUGGGUGAGGGCACGGCCAGCCCGAGAAGGCCACGGUCAGCAAGGGCCCUGCGGUGGGGACCCUGGACACGGUAGGGCUCCGUGUCUGAGCGCUUGACCCACUGGCCUCCAGCACCCCGCCCCCACCUCAAGCAGGCGGGCCUCGGCCUUGGGGUCCCUCUGCUGUGCCCCGGCCCGGAGCAGGCGUGUGCAGGGUCCCUGGCCCCACACCUCGGCUCUGGCAUUGGUCCAGCCCACUUCACAGCACCCUUGGCAGAGCUGGAGUGUCACCUUCCUGGAGCACGAUGGGACCAGGUCCUGGCCCUGCAUAGCCCCCUGCCGUUCUACUGCUCCCCUUCCUACCUCAGGCAGCCCCUGGGGAGGUGGGCUCUGGGAGUGACAGGCAGGUUGGCAGAGGGGUAGGGGCUGCUUCCCAGGCCGUGGACCGGAAGGGAGGGGGAGAUCUGGAGGCCCAACAGCG
RNAcentral lists this long non-coding RNA (1035 nucleotides) under Vulpes vulpes (red fox). RNAcentral's name for it is "lncRNA (ENSVVUG00000014307.1)". The record is from RNAcentral. Lineage: Eukaryota; Metazoa; Chordata; Mammalia; Carnivora; Canidae.